Non-coding RNA from Nicotiana tabacum (common tobacco), 848 nucleotides. The record is from RefSeq and is a predicted model, not a curated record. NCBI's taxonomy places the organism in Eukaryota, Viridiplantae, Streptophyta, Magnoliopsida, Solanales, Solanaceae.
CCUCCCCAUGUUCUAGACCUAACGAAAAUCAGAGAAAAACCGAAAACAAUCAGAAGCUCCCUUCUCUAAAAAAACAGACCAACGGCGCAACCCAACUCCCUUUUCUUUUCUUAUUCUUCAUUUCCUCAUCUUCAACAAAGAGCCAGAAACAGACCCUCCCUCUUUAGCAAGAAAAAGCCAACGCCUUCCCCUCCCCAUCUUUAUCAUCCUCUUUCCAUCAAAUUAAAAAGAAACACACACAAGAUAAAUGGUCAAAUUCAAAAGAAAAAUGAACGAAAAAAUAGAAAAAUAAAGGGUUUGAACACUGUUCGAAUUUCUUCUCUUUUGCUUCAAUUUUUCUGGAAUUUCGAGUGCCAUUUGGUUUGAAGAAGCUUUGUUUGGUCACUGGAUCUGUCGCUGAUGUUUUGCUGAGUCCGUAGGCUAUUUGCUUCAGCUUAGCUCCAUCUUUCACGGAUUUGCCUUUAGUUGGUCAUUUGGAUUCCAUUUGCGAACAUUAGUAGGUGUCCUAACUGUUCCUCGUUACUACCCCACCGAGGCUAGUCUUGAUACUUACUGGGCACCGCUGUGGUGUUCUCAUACUACACUUCUGUACAUUUUUAUGUAUAGAUCCAGGUGGAUUGAUAGUAGUUGUGUGGGUCGUCGCGGUGGAGACUCAAGGUAAACCUACUACAGCGUUCGCAGAUCUCGGAGUCACCUUCAUUUGUAUUUACUUCCAUUUGCUCCUUUGUUUCGAGGCAGUGAUGUAUUAUUUUGUGAAAUUACUCUUAGAUAGGCUUGUGACUUGUAACACCGGUUUUGGGAAUUGUAAAUUGUUAAGAGUUAUUGAAUUUAAAGUUGGCAAAUAUCAA